RNAcentral lists this ribosomal RNA (253 nucleotides) under uncultured prokaryote. RNAcentral's name for it is "partial 16S ribosomal RNA". It matches the Rfam family "Bacterial small subunit ribosomal RNA", at positions 525 to 777 of the family's 1533-position model. The record is from RNAcentral.
ACGUAGGUGGCAAGCGUUGUCCGGAAUCACUGGGCGUAAAGCGCGCGCAGGCGGCCAUUUAAGUCUGGGGUGAAAGCCCGAAGCUCAACUUCGGGACUGCCUUGGAUACUGGGUGGCUUGAGCAUCAGAGAGGCAAGGGGAAUUCCACGUGUAGCGGUGAAAUGCGUAGAGAUGUGGAGGAACACCAGUGGCGAAGGCGGCAAACUGGAUAGGCACUGACACUCAACAACGAAAGCGUGGGGAGCAAACAGGA